This 68-nucleotide transfer RNA is filed under the name Hymaea magna. RNAcentral's name for it is "tRNA-Ser". The record is from RNAcentral. Lineage: Eukaryota; Metazoa; Arthropoda; Insecta; Coleoptera; Phloeostichidae.
AGUUUAUGAACUUGUAUAAGUAUAUGUUUUGAAAGCAUAAAAAAGUUGUUAUAAUCCACUAUAAACUU